AAAGCUUUAUGGGCCCUUAGGAGUAGGGUGGGUGUCAGAGGAGAAAACCCCACUUCCUGGCCUCAGAAAGGCACACAGGGUUUCUCUGUGUAGCCCUGGCUGUCCUGAAGUCCAUCUUUUUUUUGCCCAUAAUUGGAUGACAGUGAUGUUAUGAUCAAGCCAGACCAGAGAUUUCCACCUUCAACCCGCCCAGGUAAAAAUCAGGAGAAUGGGGAAUGAAAAUCACACUCACUUCACAUUUCAUCGCUAGACUGCAGGGGAAAGAGAAGAUGCCCCAGCAGCAGAAAGCUUAGCUGGGAACACAGGCUCUGGGACGAGAAGAGGCACACCCAGCCGGGCUCACUUCUG
RNAcentral lists this long non-coding RNA (348 nucleotides) under Mus musculus (house mouse). RNAcentral's name for it is "RIKEN cDNA 9430078K24 gene". Lineage: Eukaryota; Metazoa; Chordata; Mammalia; Rodentia; Muridae. The record is from RNAcentral.